Molecule: ribosomal RNA, 605 nt
Filed under: Mucor racemosus
Lineage: Eukaryota; Fungi; Mucoromycota; Mucoromycetes; Mucorales; Mucoraceae
Description: eukaryotic LSU rRNA
Rfam family: 5.8S ribosomal RNA (bases 223-375)
Source: RNAcentral
ACGGGACAUUAAAUAAUCAAUAAUCUUGGCUUGUCCAUUAUUAUCUAUUUACUCGUGAACUGUAUUAUUAUUUGACAUUUGAGGGAUGUUCCAACGUUAUAAGGAUAGACAUCGGAAAAUGUUAACCGAGUCAUAAUCAGGUUUAGGCCUGGUAUCCUAUUAUUAUUUACCAAAUGAAUUCAGAAUUAAUAUUGUAACAUAGACCUAAAAAAUCUAUAAAACAACUUUUAACAACGGAUCUCUUGGUUCUCGCAUCGAUGAAGAACGUAGCAAAGUGCGAUAACUAGUGUGAAUUGCAUAUUCAGUGAAUCAUCGAGUCUUUGAACGCAACUUGCGCUCAUUGGUAUUCCAAUGAGCACGCCUGUUUCAGUAUCAAAACAAACCCUCUAUCCAACUUUUGUUGUAUAGGAUUAUUGGGGGCCUCUCGAUCUGUAUAGAUCUUGAAAUCCCUGAAAUUUACUAAGGCCUGAACUUGUUUAAAUGCCUGAACUUUUUUUUAAUAUAAAGGAAAGCUCUUGUAAUUGACUUUGAUGGGGCCUCCCAAAUAAAUCUUUUUUAAAUUUGAUCUGAAAUCAGGCGGGAUUACCCGCUGAACUUAAGCAUAU